This 443-nucleotide ribosomal RNA is filed under the name uncultured bacterium. RNAcentral describes it as "partial 16S ribosomal RNA". It matches the Rfam family "Bacterial small subunit ribosomal RNA", at positions 338 to 795 of the family's 1533-position model. The record is from RNAcentral.
CCUACGGGAGGCAGCAGUGGGGGAUAUUGGACAAUGGGGGGAACCCUGAUCCAGCGACGCCGCGUGAGUGAAGAAGUAUUUCGGUAUGUAAAGCUCUGUCAGCAGGGAAGAAAGAAAUGACGGUACCUGACCAAGAAGCCCCGGCUAACUACGUGCCAGCAGCCGCGGUAAUACGUAGGGGGCAAGCGUUAUCCGGAAUUACUGGGUGUAAAGGGAGCGUAGACGGUUAAGUAAGUCUGGAGUGAAAGGCCGGGGCCCAACCCCGGGACUGCUCUGGAAACUAUUGAACUUGAGUGCAGGAGAGGUAAGCGGAAUGCCUAGUGUAGCGGUGAAAUGCGUAGAGAUUAGGAGGAACACCAGUGGCGAAGGCGGCUUACUGGACUGUAACUGACGUUGAGGCUCGAAAGCGUGGGGAGCAAACAGGAUUAGAUACCCCAGUAGUC